CCACGGGCCGCUCCAGUGAGGAAUAUUGCACAAUGGGGGGAACCCUGAUGCAGCAACGCCGCGUGGAGGAUGACGCAUUUCGGUGUGUAAACUCCUUUUAUAUGUCAAGAAAAUGACGGUAGCAUAUGAAUAAGCACCGGCUAACUCCGUGCCAGCAGCCGCGGUAAUACGGAGGGUGCAAGCGUUACUCGGAAUCACUGGGCGUAAAGGACGCGUAGGCGGGUUGGAAAGUCAGGUGUGAAAUCCUACAGCUUAACUGUAGAACUGCACUUGAAACUUCUAAUCUAGAGGAUGGGAGGGGGAGAUGGAAUUAGUGGUGUAGGGGUAAAAUCCGUAGAUAUCACUAGGAAUACCUAAAGCGAAGGCGAUCUCCUGGAACAUUACUGACGCUAAGGCGUGAAAGCGUGGGGAGCAAACAGGAUUAGAUACCCUCGUAGUC
This 439-nucleotide ribosomal RNA is filed under the name uncultured bacterium. RNAcentral describes it as "partial 16S ribosomal RNA". It matches the Rfam family "Bacterial small subunit ribosomal RNA", at positions 339 to 795 of the family's 1533-position model. The record is from RNAcentral.